UGGCCUCUAAUGUGAGAGGGUACCCCCUGGAUUUAAGCAUAUUAAUAAGGGGAGGAAAAGAAAUCAACAGAGAUUCUCCUAGUACCUGCGAGGGAAAAGAGAAAAGCCCAUCCUGAAUCUAAGGUUUUGCCUUGGAGUUGUAGGGUGAGGAUGCUAUUCCUUAGGUCGAGAACUGUGAAAUUACCUGCAAAGGUAUUCACUAGUGAAUCCAUAGAGGGUGUUAGGCCCGUUANCGGUUCAUUCGAUCUUGUACGGAAUUGUAUCUGCGAGUAGGAUUGUUUGAUAGUACAAUCUGAAUAUGGGGGAUAAACUUCCUCUAAGGCUAAAUAUAAUGCAUAAGACCGUUAGUAAACAAGUACCGUGAGGGAACGUUGAAAAGUACUCUGGUAAGAGGGUGAAAAGAGUGUGAAAUUGCAUAGAUUUAAGCGUAACCAAGUAUCGACACCUGUAGUGUACUCUUUGGUGCAUUAAAGGUAUCCAACAACUCUGUUCUUGCUUUGCGAGGAUUGGGCUACACAUGCUAAGAAUGCCGUUGUAGAUGCGCUCUAUUAACGAAAAUCUUUUUGCUAUGCCAUUGCUUCACGGCUUUGGUGUGGUACCGGGGUCGUAGUUGAUAGGGUGUGUCGCAAACUAUCGGUCAUUAGUAUAUUGUUGGUAUGGUAUUUGGGAACGUCCCGUCUUGAAACACGGACCAAGGAGUCUAGCAUAUCUGCAAGCCGUAGCAAUUUUAAUUGUGAAGGCGUAAUGAAAGUGUAUUGUGUUAACAGCACAAACCGGGCCUUUCGGUCUGAGUUAGAGUAAAUAUGCUAGUACCCGAAAGGUGAUGAACUAUGCCCGGACUGGUUGAAGCCAGGAGAAAUCCUGGUGGAGGACCUCCCGCGGUGCUGACGUGCAAAUCGCUCGUCCGAGCUGGGUAUAGGAGCGAAAGACUCAUCGAAUCGCCUAGUAGCUGGUUCCUGCCGAAAUUUCCCUCAGGAUAGCGGAGAUUCAUAAUUAAUUUUGCCAGGUAAAGCUAAUGAUUAGAGAUCUUGGAGGUGGAUAACCUUCAAUCUAUUCUCAAACUUUAAAUGGGCAAUAUU
RNAcentral lists this non-coding RNA (1079 nucleotides) under Naegleria gruberi. RNAcentral's name for it is "Eukaryotic large subunit ribosomal RNA". It matches the Rfam family "Eukaryotic large subunit ribosomal RNA", at positions 1 to 1080 of the family's 3401-position model. Lineage: Eukaryota; Heterolobosea; Eutetramitea; Acrasida; Naegleriidae. The record is from Rfam by way of RNAcentral.